UAAGGAAUAUUGGUCAAUGGACGCAAGUCUGAACCAGCCAUGCCGCGUGGAGGAUGAAGGUCCUCUGGAUUGUAAACUUCUUUUAUCUGGGACGAAACACUUCUUUUCUAAGAGGCCUGACGGUACCAGAUGAAUAAGCACCGGCUAACUCCGUGCCAGCAGCCGCGGUAAUACGGAGGGUGCAAGCGUUAUCCGGAUUCACUGGGUUUAAAGGGUGCGUAGGUGGGUAUGUAAGUCAGUGGUGAAAUCCCCGAGCUUAACUUGGGAACUGCCAUUGAUACUAUAUAUCUUGAAUACCGUAGANGUAAGCGGAAUAUGUCAUGUAGCGGUGAAAUGCUUAGAUAUGACAUGGAACACCAAUUGCGAAGGCAGCUUACUAUGCGGUGAUUGACACUGAGGCACGAAAGCGUGGGUAGCAAAC
This 421-nucleotide ribosomal RNA is filed under the name uncultured bacterium. RNAcentral's name for it is "bacterial SSU rRNA". It matches the Rfam family "Bacterial small subunit ribosomal RNA", at positions 355 to 773 of the family's 1533-position model. The record is from RNAcentral.